RNAcentral lists this ribosomal RNA (395 nucleotides) under uncultured bacterium. Its description in RNAcentral is "bacterial SSU rRNA". It matches the Rfam family "Bacterial small subunit ribosomal RNA", at positions 505 to 898 of the family's 1533-position model. The record is from RNAcentral.
GUGUCAGCAGCCGCGGUAAUACAGAGACUCCAAGCGUUAUUCGGAUUCACUGGGCGUAAAGGGUGCGCAGGCGGUCAGGUGUGUCAGAUGUGAAAGCUCCGGGCUUAACCCGGAAAUUGCGUCUGAAACUAUUUGGCUAGAGUAUUGGAGAGGGAAGCGGAAUUCUCGGUGUAGCGGUGAAAUGCGUAGAUAUCGAGAGGAACACCAAAGGCGAAGGCAGCUUCCUGGACAAUUACUGACGCUCAUGCACGAAAGCGUGGGUAGCGAAAGGGAUUAGAUACCCCUGUAGUCCACGCCCUAAACGGUGCACACUAGGUGUUGGCGGAUUCGACCCCGUCAGCGCCCCAGCUAACGCGAUAAGUGUGCCGCCUGAGGACUACGGCCGCAAGGCUAAA